AAUGUUUUGUUUGUAGCUUUUCGUCCUUGGCUUUCAGGAGUCCCACUCUUCCUACCACAGUGGACCCUUAAUCAAUUAGCCACAUGGCUGGUGAUGAGAAGUAGGUAUGGAUCGUUGAAGGAUUUAAUACUUGGUCUUCCUUUUAGAUUUUAUAUGGAAAAUAUGGAAUUAUAUGCAGGAUGUGAUAUUCUUAUCCUCAUGAUGUAAUCCUUUCUCUAUGGGAAAUUCAUAAUUGUUGGAUUCUACUCUUGGUUUGUCUCAUUGAACCUCUUCCCAUUUGCUUUUGAUGCAUGAUCUUUGCCAUAAGAAAUAUCAAACCAUCAAUCAUCCCGUAAGAUUGCCCAAAUGGCCAGAGCAUGCCAAAGGCAAUGAAAUGAGUCGCCGCAUGCUCAA
RNAcentral lists this long non-coding RNA (393 nucleotides) under Phoenix dactylifera (date palm). Its description in RNAcentral is "long non-coding RNA (PDAC_LNC002246)". Lineage: Eukaryota; Viridiplantae; Streptophyta; Magnoliopsida; Arecales; Arecaceae. The record is from RNAcentral.